CCUGAGGACACACCUGUCCAUCGGGCCAGGCCCCAGGGUGCCAAGCCUAGAGCCCAGAGCAGCAGCCCCUGCCCAGAGGUGCCACUGCGGGAGCUCUGCCCUCCUCUCGCUCCAUCCUGGAGUACCUCCAGAACAGCUCCCCAUCCUGACUCUGUGUCCUCCCACUCCUUAGAGUGGGAUGGGUUGGGGGGAGGCUGCCCUGGGGCAGCCAGACGGGCAUCGGUGUGUUGGGGCAACCUGGGUGCCCGCACUUACUUCUCCCGCUCCCGGGCAUUCUUGUACAACUUCACUUCCUGCCAGAGAGAGCAGACACUGGGGGCCAGUGCCAACAGGGGCUGUAGGGCCCCAGUGAGGCAACACAGGCAUUUGCUGUUGGCCAGUGCCAGCCAGGUGGGCACCCACCACUCACCUCAUACAGCUCUGGCUUGUUCCCAGGGGCUGCAAGAGAAGGCAGAAAGCUGGCAAGAUUCCCCAAAGAGAAUCUGAGGGUAGGCUCCAGCCCCAGCCUCCAUUUCAGGUCCCAUGCUGGGUCCCAAAGAGCCCAGAGGGAGCUGAAGCACAGGGGUCCAACCUCACCCCCAUCAGUGUGUGGAGGGACCUGAAGAUGCCUCUGGGAGGCCGGGGGCCGCAUGCCAGGCCUGGCUCCCCAGCUCCACUGUGGCUCCCUAGCUGUGCCACCUUUACAACAAUGGCCACACCCUGCUCGUGGCCUAUGACGCAGUGCCAACAAGGCUCACCGCACACAGCCUCUCCCCUGGGCUUGGUGACACAGGGUGCCCAGGACCCCCAUGGUUCUAGCCACACCAAAGCUCAUCAUCUCUGCCCAGCAGGAUCAAGCCAGCUCUCCCUGGAGGAGGUUUCAGGGCCCUCAGUGCUCUUGUGAUGAACUGCACCCACCCCUGGCCACCCACAAGGCUGUUUGGGAGCAGGGUCAGGGUAGACUUACAGACAUCCCCCACCCUGACCUCUGAAGUCCAAUACUGCCUGUCAGCCCCUCCAGGAGGGGCUGAAAGCCUGGGCCCUUCCAGUUUCUAAGCCCAGCUCUGGUCACACUCACCUCCUAUGCCCGGAGUGGCUGGGAUCCCAUGAAACAUCCUCUAGGUUCUGGAGGGGCGACAGCACUGAAUCUGAAAAAGGAAAUUAAAUAAUACUAAUGGUAGCCUGUAAUUCCUGCAUAAUAAAGUUUACUAUGUUACGUUCAACAUAAAACC
Molecule: long non-coding RNA, 1211 nt
Organism: Sapajus apella (tufted capuchin)
Lineage: Eukaryota; Metazoa; Chordata; Mammalia; Primates; Cebidae
Exons: 2
Source: RefSeq, a predicted model, not a curated record